RNAcentral lists this ribosomal RNA (300 nucleotides) under uncultured Clostridium sp. RNAcentral's name for it is "partial 16S ribosomal RNA". It matches the Rfam family "Bacterial small subunit ribosomal RNA", at positions 496 to 795 of the family's 1533-position model. Lineage: Bacteria; Bacillati; Bacillota; Clostridia; Eubacteriales; Clostridiaceae. The record is from RNAcentral.
GCUACGCCCGGGCCGGCGGCGCGGGUAGGAGGGGGGGGGGGAGCGUUGUUCGUAAGUACUGGGGGUAAAGCGCACGGAGGCUGACCAGAAAGUUGGGGGUGAAAUCCCGGGGCUCAACCCCGGAACUGCCUUCAAAACUAUUGGUCUGGAGUUCGAGAGAGGGGAGUGGAAUUCCGAGUGUAGAGGUGAAAUUCGUAGAUAUUCGGAGGAACACCAGUGGCGAAGGCGGCUCACUGGCUCGAUACUGACGCUGAGGUGCGAAAGCGUGGGGAGCAAACAGGAUUAGAUACCCCAGUAGUC